This 372-nucleotide ribosomal RNA is filed under the name uncultured organism. RNAcentral describes it as "partial 16S ribosomal RNA". It matches the Rfam family "Bacterial small subunit ribosomal RNA", at positions 527 to 896 of the family's 1533-position model. The record is from RNAcentral.
GUAGGUGGCAAGCGUUGUCCGGAAUUAUUGGGCGUAAAGCGCGCGCAGGCGGUUCUUUAAGUCUGAUGUGAAAGCCCACGGCUCAACCGUGGAGGGUCAUUGGAAACUGGAGAACUUGAGUACAGAAGAGGAAAGCGGAAUUCCACGUGUAGCGGUGAAAUGCGUAGAGAUGUGGAGGAACACCAGUGGCGAAGGCGGCUUUCUGGUCUGUAACUGACGCUGAGGCGCGAAAGCGUGGGGAGCAAACAGGAUUAGAUACCCUGGUAGUCCACGCCGUAAACGAUGAGUGCUAAGUGUUAGGGGGUUUCCGCCCCCCUUAGCGCUGCAGCUAACGCAUUAAGCACUCCGCCUGGGAGUACGGCCGCGAGGCUG